UACAUGGGGUGCAAACGUUGCUCAGAAUUAUUGGGCGUAAAGCGCGCGUAGGCGGUUACUCAAGUCGGAUGUGAAAGCCCUCGGCUUAACUGAGGAAGUGCACCCGAAACUGAGUAGCUAGAGUACUAAAGAGGGUCGCGGAAUUCCCGGUGUAGAGGUGAAAUUCGUAGAUAUCGGGAGGAACACCGGUGGCGAAGGCGGCGACCUGGGUAGAUACUGACGCUGAGGCGCGAAAGCGUGGGGAGCAAACAGG
RNAcentral lists this ribosomal RNA (253 nucleotides) under uncultured bacterium. RNAcentral's name for it is "partial 16S ribosomal RNA". It matches the Rfam family "Bacterial small subunit ribosomal RNA", at positions 524 to 776 of the family's 1533-position model. The record is from RNAcentral.